Molecule: non-coding RNA, 1150 nt
Organism: Dermacentor andersoni
Lineage: Eukaryota; Metazoa; Arthropoda; Arachnida; Ixodida; Ixodidae
Source: RefSeq, a predicted model, not a curated record
AUCACAGUUUUAUCGUCCCACGCUCCACUAUACAAAUCUAGUUUCUCUCUACUUCUAACCUUACGGAAAACCGCCUGCUUCUUGGCCAUACCCCAUAGUGGGUACGCGCCACUUGAAGACACAAUCUCGUGGAACGAGAUAUUCUACUAGCGCUGGGAAGCCAUGGUGCCACCACAAAAUUGACCGUCUGGUAAGUCCAAUGCCGCUUAUUUCGCACCGUCUUCUUUGUAGUAAAGUCCCUAGAUUUUGAGCUCUUGUUCAAGUAGCGACAUCUCCUCUCACACGCAGCCGGCGUCGGCCGCCGCGUUCUUAACUUCCUGAAGCGGCGCGCCCGCGUAGAUAGCACCCGACCGUCAACGGCCGCUCAUGCACCGCAUGAGUCAAAUAUAAGUUUCAGUCAUCGUGCCAGACAGUGAAAUACGAACCCAAAUGCGGCUUAAUACUGCGCUGGUGAGGUCGAGCGCGAAAUUUUCCGACACAAUUCUUACCCGUACUUAGUAGGCCUCUUCGAGUUUCGGAGUUCUGGCAGCGCGCUGGCAGCCAGACGACAGCCAGGUAGUUGCGGUCUUGACAGGAAGUGACGUGUCUAGGAUCCCAAGACAACCGGAAGCUGCUUGAAGUUUGCAAAAUCGAGCGCCGUGCCCGUUCCCGGUGCCCGUUCCUCUUGGGUCCACGAGGAGAGGCGAGACCUGGACAAGUCCUUACGAGAACGACACUUCGACCGAACAAAAUGGUCUGGACGGUAAAUUUGAUUAAAGUUGUGGUCGGGCAGGAAAAGACCGAGGUCAACGAAGCCCAGACUCAUUUGAAAAGGUGGGGGAAAGCUCAGGCUUUGCCUUUGAUGAUGUUAGUGAGCACCGUGCUCACGUUGGUCAUGUGUCGUGUGACACUGUUCAUCAUUCGAAAAUUGGGCUUCGGGGAAAAUGGUAUCCUGCCUAACACGGUGGCGUCCACGUGGCAGGCAGCAAUAGGAAACAUGGAAGAGGGCUCUUGGUUUACUACCUUGCAAAGCACGGGUGUCCAUGGGUUUUCAUGGAAGCAGCGCCUAUUCGUGUGUAACGUAGUGUACAGUGUUUUAAUUUCGAUCGCGUAUUAGGCCUCCUUGUUUUUUUUUUUCUCAAUAAAUUUGCGCACCAUGGCUCCCCUCGGA